RNAcentral lists this long non-coding RNA (1811 nucleotides) under Sus scrofa (pig). Its description in RNAcentral is "lncRNA (ENSSSCG00060064573.1)". The record is from RNAcentral. Lineage: Eukaryota; Metazoa; Chordata; Mammalia; Artiodactyla; Suidae.
CCAGAGAGAAAAGAUGAGGCGGCACCAGGGUAGUGAGUGAUGUGAAUUCCUGUCAGAGCAGAAAUUGUGCUAGGGGAGGUCUCUAGACAGAAAAAAAAAAAAAAUCUUUGGGUUGGGGAUGGGUGAAGAGUACAAAGAAAAAGAAAAGAAGGGAUGAGUUUUAAAAAAUGCAGGAAGAAGGCAGUAAGCAAUUAGAGAAGACUCAGUGUGUGCACAGUUGUCAGUCCCUGCUGGAAAUGCCCGCCAGUGGCCAGAAGUGGGUCAUGAGUGUAAUGAGCCAGUCAGCCUGACAUCUGCACUCUUUAGUCCAGCCUCAGGUUUCCACCUGGAUCUAGCAACUUGCGAGCUUCAGAGCAGAGAGGUAAGUGCGUGAUUUUCUUUGGUUCUUGCCUCCCUUGUCAGACACGGACACCUAUUUCCCCACAUAGGGCAAAGUCUACCUUCUUGACUAACCAGAAAUAACCAGAGGAAGCUAUAGUCCAGACUGGGUCUCUUCCUUCCCUCAAAGGCUGUACUGAUUUAAGAGAAAACUUGCUCUGACCCCUGCCAAAGCUGAUAACUUAUGAGUUUCUAAUUAACACCCACCCCAGGCCUUUGAAUUUGUAGAGAUGCAAAUGAUGCUCAUUUCUAAUAAUUUAAUUCUUCCAAUGACAGCCAUCAUUUUUGUGAAGACUUCAAGAAAACUGGGCAAGAAUGAUGCAAAGUUCAUCCAAACCAUGGCUACUGCUUGUGAAACUUCCCAGAGCACCUUUGAUCCUGGCAGUGGAUUAGUAUGUAAUGGGAAGACAGCCUGGAUUCUGAAAAGCCCAGAUUCUGCAAUUGAAGAGAAUCAUACAUACCUGACUGGCAUGGGGCUAGAGAUUUUUCCACCAAAACCCACUGUGAUCAUGUUUAUUUCAUUUCAUCCAGUAGACUGGACUCUCUUCAUAUGCACUUUUUUCAUCUCCAGCUUCAGGCAGAUUAACUCAGCAAACUUGGAAGCCAGAUGAUGAAAACUGAAAAACUGUAAGAUGGAAGGGAUAUGGAACUCCAGUUCACUGCUUGAAGAAGGGCAGUCAGAGUUAACAGUUUUAGACUUUAUAAGGAGAAAUAAAUUUAUGUCAUGUGAACAAUUAUAUAUUUUAGAGUUUGUUUUUCAAAACAGCUUUACUAUAACUGCUAAAUGGAAAAAUGCAUGCAUUUCUCAAUUACCAGAUUACAACUCAAACUGUAUUUUGUUUCCAGUACUAGAGACACAAGACAUGAGUUAAUCAAAUUUUUUUGUGUGUAGCAGCCUGGGUAAUUCAUGUUUUUAAGUCCCUUUAAUAUCUUAUUGGUUGUGCAUUCUAGGUUUUAAACAACUUGUUUAGAAUGAACUUUUAGAACCACACCCAUUUCUAAGUUGGGAACUGCUUACAUAGCAAAGGAUUUAUUGCUGAAUGAUCAAUUUGAUAUGCUUGUCAUAACUGCUAAACUAUACAGACAUGGGCCAUUUAUUCCAGACAACAUAAUGUCUGAAUUGGAUUGAAGAAACUGGAUCAAUAGACCUUAACCAUCGACCUGAAAAUGGUCACUCCAUACAAUCGUGGAAAAUCAAGUAGUCCAGUUGUCUGAAAAAAUAACAAUUGGCAGACAAAUUACUUUAUCAGUCAUCUUUGGUUUUAGUGGGAAAUUGUAUGGUUUUAAUUUCAAAAAGGAUAUGGUUCACUAACCUUAUAGUGACUGAUAUUAAAAAAUUGAAAUGUAUGUUAUAUCACAAAGCUGAUGGAAUGGAGUUCAACUAGAUGCGUUUUUUUUUACCAAAAAAAAAUAAUAAAUUUGUUUUAAGAAGU